AGUUCGGAUCGCAGGCUGCAACUCGCCUGCGUGAAGUUGGAAUUGCUAGUAAUCGCGGAUCAGCAUGCCGCGGUGAAUACGUUCCCGGGCCCUUGUACACACCGCCCGUCACACCAUGGGAGUUUGUAACACCCGAAGUCAGUAUCCUAACCGCAAGGGGGGAGCUGCCGAAGGUGGGGUAAGCGACUGGGGUGAAGUCGUAACAAGGUAUC
RNAcentral lists this ribosomal RNA (212 nucleotides) under uncultured bacterium. RNAcentral's name for it is "partial 16S ribosomal RNA". It matches the Rfam family "Bacterial small subunit ribosomal RNA", at positions 1290 to 1500 of the family's 1533-position model. The record is from RNAcentral.